CAGAGAAAGUUUUCAGCUUGACGGUACCUUACCAGAAAGGGAUGGCUAAAUACGUGCCAGCAGCCGCGGUAAUACGUAUGUCCCGAGCGUUAUCCGGAUUUAUUGGGCGUAAAGCGAGCGCAGACGGUUUAUUAAGUCUGAUGUGAAAUCCCGAGGCCCAACCUCGGAACUGCAUUGGAAACUGAUUUACUUGAGUGCGAUAGAGGCAAGUGGAACUCCAUGUGUAGCGGUGAAAUGCGUAGAUAUGUGGAAGAACACCAGUGGCGAAAGCGGCUUGCUAGAUCGUAACUGACGUUGAGGCUCGAAAGUAUGGGUAGCAAACGGGAUUAGAUACCCCGGUAGUCCAUACCGUAAACGAUGGGUGCUAGUUGUUAAGAGGUUUCCGCCUCCUAGUGACGUAGCAAACGCAUUAAGCACCCCGCCUGAGGAGUACGGCCGCAAGGCUAAAACUUAAAGGAAUUGACGGGGACCCGCACAAGCGGUGGAGCAUGUGGUUUAAUUCGAAGAUACGCGAAAAACCUUACCAGGUCUUGACAUACCAAUGAUCGCUUUUGUAAUGAAAGCUUUUCUUCGGAACAUUGGAUACAGGUGGUGCAUGGUCGUCGUCAGCUCGUGUCGUGAGAUGUUGGGUUAAGUCCCGCAACGAGCGCAACCCUUGUUAUUAGUUGCCAGCAUUUAGUUGGGCACUCUAAUGAGACUGCCGGUGAUAAACCGGAGGAAGGUGGGGACGACGUCAGAUCAUCAUGCCCCUUAUGACCUGGGCAACACACGUGCUACAAUGGGAAGUACAACGAGUCGCAAACUGGCGACGGUAAGCUAAUCUCUUAAAACUUCUCUCAGUUCGGACUGGAGUCUGCAACUCGACUCCACGAAGGCGGAAUCGCUAGUAAUCGCGAAUCAGCAUGUCGCGGUGAAUACGUUCCCGGGUCUUGUACACACCGCCCGUCAAAUCAUGGGAGUCGGAAGUACCCAAAGUCGCUUGGCUAACUUUUAGAGGCCGGUGCCUAAGGUAAAAUCGAUGACUGGGAUUAAGUCGUAACAAGGUAGCCGUAGGAGAACCUGCGGCUGGAUCACCUCCUUUCUAAGGA
This 1088-nucleotide ribosomal RNA is filed under the name Oenococcus oeni. Its description in RNAcentral is "bacterial SSU rRNA". It matches the Rfam family "Bacterial small subunit ribosomal RNA", at positions 453 to 1533 of the family's 1533-position model. Lineage: Bacteria; Bacillati; Bacillota; Bacilli; Lactobacillales; Lactobacillaceae. The record is from RNAcentral.